RNAcentral lists this ribosomal RNA (496 nucleotides) under uncultured bacterium. RNAcentral describes it as "partial 16S ribosomal RNA". It matches the Rfam family "Bacterial small subunit ribosomal RNA", at positions 29 to 507 of the family's 1533-position model. The record is from RNAcentral.
AUGAACGCUGGCGGCGUGCCUAAUACAUGCAAGUCGAGCGAGCAGAUGAGGAGCUUGCUCCUCUGACGUUAGCGGCGGACGGGUGAGUAACACGUGGAUAACCUACCUGUAAGACUGGGAUAACUUCGGGAAACCGGAGCUAAUACCGGAUAAUAUAUUGAACCGCAUGGUUCAAUAGUGAAAGACGGUUUUGCUGUCACUUAUAGAUGGAUCCGCGCCGCAUUAGCUAGUUGGUAAGGUAACGGCUUACCAAGGCAACGAUGCGUAGCCGACCUGAGAGGGUGAUCGGCCACACUGGAACUGAGACACGGUCCAGACUCCUACGGGAGGCAGCAGUAGGGAAUCUUCCGCAAUGGGCGAAAGCCUGACGGAGCAACGCCGCGUGAGUGAUGAAGGUCUUCGGAUCGUAAAACUCUGUUAUUAGGGAAGAACAAAUGUGUAAGUAACUAUGCACGUCUUGACGGUACCUAAUCAGAAAGCCACGGCUAACCACGUG